This 72-nucleotide transfer RNA is filed under the name Camelus bactrianus (Bactrian camel). It matches the Rfam family "tRNA". Rfam says of the family: Transfer RNA (tRNA) molecules are approximately 80 nucleotides in length. Their secondary structure includes four short double-helical elements and three loops (D, anti-codon, and T loops). RNAcentral also lists the same sequence under 2 other names. Lineage: Eukaryota; Metazoa; Chordata; Mammalia; Artiodactyla; Camelidae. The record is from Rfam by way of RNAcentral.
GCAGGUAUAGCUCAGUGGUAGGGCACAUGCUUAGCAUGCAUGGGGUCCUAGGUUCAAUUCCCAGUACUUCUA